UUAGGAUGUUGGGAUCAUCCCAAGCAGGUAUGUGGAAACUGCUCAAUUUCCCCCCUUGUCACCCCACCUGUGGAGAGGGGCUCAAAAUAUCCCUUGUGUGAUAUCUAUCCCUGUCAUUUAUCUUCCCACUUGGAGUGAAAUGAGGCUUCACUUCCCUUCUGGGCUCCCCACAGAGGUUGAAAAGAGCCUGAGCUCUGCUGCUGCUAGUGGAAUGCUCUGCAGGAGGCCCUGGAGGAGUUCAGAGCCCUUCUGGCGACACCUGACAGCCGUCCCGCGAUGCAGGUCCUUCAGUGACACGAGGUGACAGUCACUCCCUGGCGCGGCUCUUAGAGACUCGGGUGAGCAGCCACUCCUCAGUGCAGCCACGCCACCACCGCCUGCGCGCCUGCCCCAGGGCGGCUUUCCUGCGGCAUCGGUCGGCUGGGCUUCCAUCCACCACGAAAAAAAACAAACUCUGCUAAAACGGUACAAAUUACCCCAGAAAGCGAAGCGGUUGCAAUGCACAUGGGCACCGAGGCGCUGCAGCUCCAAGAGCUGUUUUAUUGGCCCCUUCCCCACUCCCCUCCCAACUAAGAAUCCUUAAGUAAG
Molecule: long non-coding RNA, 588 nt
Organism: Empidonax traillii (willow flycatcher)
Lineage: Eukaryota; Metazoa; Chordata; Aves; Passeriformes; Tyrannidae
Exons: 2
Source: RefSeq, a predicted model, not a curated record